This 275-nucleotide long non-coding RNA is filed under the name Arachis ipaensis. RNAcentral's name for it is "long non-coding RNA (AIPA_LNC000244)". Lineage: Eukaryota; Viridiplantae; Streptophyta; Magnoliopsida; Fabales; Fabaceae. The record is from RNAcentral.
UUCCAUUUCCGAUGUUUUGUUUGUGUUAGUUUUUUUUUUUGGUUUUUUUUGUUUGUGUUGGUUUGGGAUAGUGAUAAUAGUGCUGUGUGAGUUUAUUAUAUAGCUCAUGGGGGAAGGGGGUUGGUGGCUCUUUUGGUAUUUUUCAAGGGAAAAUAUUUUUUAAAUCUGUGACAGUGUGAGUGAUCAAUGAAAUGCCAUUGAGUAUUGAAUUAACUACCUGGUCAAAGUAUAAGGGAAAGGAAAUGCAACCCCUGUUGGAAAUAUGUAAAAUGAGG